This 253-nucleotide ribosomal RNA is filed under the name uncultured bacterium. Its description in RNAcentral is "partial 16S ribosomal RNA". It matches the Rfam family "Bacterial small subunit ribosomal RNA", at positions 524 to 776 of the family's 1533-position model. The record is from RNAcentral.
UACGAAGGGGGCUAGCGUUGCUCGGAAUCACUGGGCGUAAAGGGUGCGUAGGCGGGUUUUUAAGUCAGAGGUGAAAUCCUGGAGCUCAACUCCAGAACUGCCUUUGAUACUGAGAAUCUUGAGUAUGGGAGAGGUGAGUGGAACUGCGAGUGUAGAGGUGAAAUUCGUAGAUAUUCGCAAGAACACCAGUGGCGAAGGCGGCUCACUGGCCCAUAACUGACGCUGAGGCGCGAAAGCUAGGGGAGCAAACGGG